UGAGUACGAGAUGCUACGGCAUCGAAGCAGUCUAUGUCAUACUUCCAAGAAAAGCUUGCACUGUCAGAAACAGAUAAUGCCUGUACCAUAACCGACACAGGUGGGUAGGUAGAGUAUACUAAGGGGCGCGAGAUAACUCUCUCUAAGGAACUCGGCAAAAUGACUCCGUAACUUCGGGAGAAGGAGUGCCUUAUUUUUAAGGUUGCAAUAACAAGAUCCAAGCAACUGUUUACCAAAAACACAGGUCUCCGCUAAGUCGUAAGACGAUGUAUGGGGGCUGACGCCUGCCCAGUGCCAGAAGGUUAAAGAAGUCGGUUAGCAUUCGCGAAGCUGGUAACUGAAGCCCUGGUGAACGGCGGCCGUAACAAUAACGGUCCUAAGGUAGCGAAAUUCCUUGUCGGGUAAGUUCCGACCCGCACGAAAGGCGUAAUGAUUUGGAUACUGUCUCGGAGAGGGGCUCGGUGAAAUAGACUUGUCUGUGAAGAUGCGGACUACCUGCACCUGGACAGAAAGACCCUAUGAAGCUUUACUGUAACUUGAAAUUGAAAUUGGACUUUAUUUGCGCAGUAUAGGUGGGAGGCGUUGAAAAUAUUCUUGCGGGAAUAUUGGAGCCAUCAGUGAGAUACCACUCUUGUAAUGUUAGAUUUCUAACUUUAUAUCAUUAUCUGGUUAAAGAACAGUUUCAGGCGGGCAGUUUGGCUGGGGCGGUCGCCUCCCAAAUGGUAACGGAGGCGCACAAAGGUUUCCUCUGAACGGGUAGAAAUCGUAUCUAGAGUGUAAAGGCAUAAGGAAGCUUGACUGUGAGACCUACAAGUCGAGCAGGGACGAAAGUCGGUCUUAGUGAGCUGACGGUGCUGAGUGGAAAGGCCAUCACUCAACGGAUAAAAGUUACUCUAGGAUAACAGGCUGAUCUCCCCCAAGAGUUCACAUCGACGGGGAGGUUUGGCACCUCGAUGUCGGCUCAUCGCAUCCUGGGGCGGUAGUACGUCCCAAGGGUUGGGCUGUUCGCCCAUGAAAGCGGUACGCGAGCUGGGUUCAGAACGUCGUGAGACAGUUCGGUCCAUAUCCGGUGUAGGCGUUAGAAUAUUGAGAGGAGCCUUCUUUAGUACGAGAGGACCGAGAAGGACAUACCUCUGGUGUGCCAGUUAUCGUGCCAACGGUAAACGCUGGGUAGCUAUGUAUGGAGUGGAUAACCGCUGAAAGCAUCUAAGUGGGAAGCCCACCUCAAGAUAAG
This 1234-nucleotide ribosomal RNA is filed under the name metagenome. Its description in RNAcentral is "bacterial LSU rRNA". It matches the Rfam family "Bacterial large subunit ribosomal RNA", at positions 1564 to 2808 of the family's 2925-position model. The record is from RNAcentral.